RNAcentral lists this ribosomal RNA (416 nucleotides) under uncultured Blautia sp. Its description in RNAcentral is "bacterial SSU rRNA". It matches the Rfam family "Bacterial small subunit ribosomal RNA", at positions 349 to 782 of the family's 1533-position model. Lineage: Bacteria; Bacillati; Bacillota; Clostridia; Lachnospirales; Lachnospiraceae. The record is from RNAcentral.
CAGCAGUGGGGAAUAUUGCACAAUGGGGGAAACCCUGAUGCAGCGACGCCGCGUGAAGGAAGAAGUAUCUCGGUAUGUAAACUUCUAUCAGCAGGGAAGAAAAUGACGGUACCUGACUAAGAAGCCCCGGCUAACUACGUGCCAGCAGCCGCGGUAAUACGUAGGGGGCAAGCGUUAUCCGGAUUUACUGGGUGUAAAGGGAGCGUAGACGGAUGGACAAGUCUGAUGUGAAAGGCUGGGGCUCAACCCCGGGACUGCAUUGGAAACUGCCCGUCUUGAGUGCCGGAGAGGUAAGCGGAAUUCCUAGUGUAGCGGUGAAAUGCGUAGAUAUUAGGAGGAACACCAGUGGCGAAGGCGGCUUACUGGACGGUAACUGACGUUGAGGCUCGAAAGCGUGGGGAGCAAACAGGAUUAGA